This is a long non-coding RNA of Olea europaea var. sylvestris, 913 nucleotides long. RefSeq lists it as uncharacterized. The record is from RefSeq and is a predicted model, not a curated record. Lineage: Eukaryota; Viridiplantae; Streptophyta; Magnoliopsida; Lamiales; Oleaceae. The transcript is spliced from 2 exons.
UACUAUUAAAAAAUCAAUUCUGAGACUGCUUUCAAAUCCCAAUAUGAAGAAGAAAACGCUCCAAAAAAGAACAAAGAAGCAGGAGCAGCAGCAACGAAGAAGACUUCAACCUUCAAGCUUGAAACAUUCAAUAAUUGAACGGAGAAUUGCUAGACCUAUCUAAUUUCGACGGCAACCAGUGUUCACUACAUGAGAAACGAUGAAGAUUAAGCAAAAAUUCACAUUUAUUAAGGUGCAAACUUCUGGGACUGCUCAUGUACAUCAGUAUUCUAUUCCUAUGAGUCGAAGACCUCUACGUAGUCAUUGAGCUUCUUGUGACCACGAAGAUAUGUUGAGACAAUUGUUGCACCACGUGGAGAGGUUCUCCGAUAAAUAUGAAUAAAUAAAUAGGAAGGUCGAUACUAUAAUGAAUUAGAUGAGACUGAGCCAACAUCUCGAUAGAGACCAUUCAUUUGGGAAUGAUGGAGUAUUUGGGAUCGAGGGAGAUUCCUUGAGGAAGUUGAGAGGGAGAUGUAGACAGUGGUUGGGGGCACUAAGAGGGGGGUUGAGAUAGGGGAGAUUAGGAGGGAGGCAGUUGCAGGGAGCAUUGAGAGGGAGGCUGUGACAGGGGAAAAGGCUGAGAGAUUGGGAGGGAGGCAAUUGCAAUGAGCAUUGAGAGGGUGACUGGGGCAAGAAACGCUGUGAUAUAGAUUGUGGUAUGUACGUACUAAAAUAUAUAGAAUUCUUGAGCAUCAACAAUCCAAUAGAACAAGUUAAUGGCUUCCAUAGAAUAGAUGGAGGGAAAAGAUGGCUGCCAAUAAUUUUGCCCUUGAUUAUGAACCGUAGGACCUUUUGAUGUAUUUGUAUGUUUACGAGUUAUGAGUGUAAAUAUAUAAUUUUAUAGCGUAUGUUGAAUGUGGGUCUUUUUAUGUUA